UGUAAAUGUCUUAUAAAUCGCAUUCAUUUUCUCCUACACAGUUUAUAACAUAUAUAACAUUUUAUAUUUAUAUGUUAAGACAUUAUAAUUCUACAGUGUCACUUUGUCUGUUCCGCUUUUAUUUUGAAAAGCGCCGUUUUUCUUCGGAUGGUUUUUUUUGUGACGCUAGACUUCCGCUACUCUCUCUUCACAAUGUGGUGUUCACGUAUCGUCGGAAGAACGAGCUCUGAACUGUGAGGGUGUGUCGAGCUAGAGAGCAUGGUAGCUGAUGGCAGAAACUCUUUGAUUAGCGCCCUUGGAGAAGCGGAAUGAGUUUUCACGGUGUUCAUGGUGCAUGGUGCUCGUUGAGAGGAAGAAAUAAAUUGACACCCGUUUGAAACUCUCUGCGUCUUGAUCAAUAUAUCCGAGGGGC
Molecule: long non-coding RNA, 412 nt
Organism: Cyprinus carpio carpio
Lineage: Eukaryota; Metazoa; Chordata; Actinopteri; Cypriniformes; Cyprinidae
Source: Ensembl